ACUGUGCGCUGUUGUCACUUGCCACGUACAGCGGAAUCCAACGGGAAAAGCGCAACCGCCCCAUCAGGCACAGCUGUAGAAACCUUCUCAAGAAAUGUCAUAUCAAUGCGCCAGCGUCAGACAGUAAACUUCACAACAUGGACAAACUGCUGCAAGCACAUCCAUUUGUCGCUGAACAUACGCGCGUUACAAAUAUCCAAACCUAACGUUAAUUGACUUUCAGUAGAUUCUCAAGUGUUUAGGAAUUUCAUGCGCAUGGUUUAUCCAAUCUACUCACCAUUUUUUGGAGAUAAAUAAAUAUUAGAUUCCGUCUACGCCGCAACACGAGAUUAGUUACAGAGCAGAUCCAACAUCAUAAAUAUUCUCUGCAUCAUUUUAAGGACUGUAGGCAACUUUUCCACUGCUUUUUCCAAACGCGAUCCAACCACUCCCUGGCCCCGCCCUCCGCUGAUCUCUCAUUGGUUCAGCCUUUUGUUGCCGUUUUUUGAUUGGUUUCAAGUCAAGUCGAUCAGAUUCUCCGGGUCGAUGGACACACGCGUUCCAAUGUGUCACGUGAUGAGACUCGAACCGCUCUACUGCUUAUGCUUUACCACACAGCAUCCAGGAUAUGCAUGUGAAGGGUGUGCUCAUCUCCAGGAGCAGUGUCACCAUAGGGAGGAAAUGACCCUGCCAGUUCCACACAACCGCCCCUGCAAACCCCGCCAGGGCGAAGAAGUGGUGAACAGCUAACGGCAGGUCAAAGGAACGAAACACCACAUUGGACAUGUGGAGGGCCAUGUUUUCAAACAGGAAGAAGCCCGUAGAAGUUAGAAUGUUGAACCAGGACCAGUCUUCCUGUCCGAGAAUCUUAUCAGAGAAGAGAACAGAUUCCUCCAUGAGGGCCCGAAGACCUGCCACAAUGCCCUGAAUGCCAAACACAGCCCGUGUUGCAGCCAAAUCCCAGAAAACCUAGAAAAUUUUUAAAUGGUAGAACAUGUUAAUGAUUUUUUAAUAAAGAAUUUAAUAAAGGUCUAUUAUGAUUCAAAAGAG
RNAcentral lists this long non-coding RNA (1029 nucleotides) under Danio rerio (zebrafish). RNAcentral's name for it is "si:ch211-80m8.4 (ENSDARG00000096957.3)". Lineage: Eukaryota; Metazoa; Chordata; Actinopteri; Cypriniformes; Danionidae. The record is from RNAcentral.